This 465-nucleotide ribosomal RNA is filed under the name uncultured bacterium. RNAcentral's name for it is "partial 16S ribosomal RNA". It matches the Rfam family "Bacterial small subunit ribosomal RNA", at positions 338 to 795 of the family's 1533-position model. The record is from RNAcentral.
CCUACGGGAGGCAGCAGUGGGGAAUUUUGGACAAUGGGCGCAAGCCUGAUCCAGCUAUUCCGCGUGUGGGAAGACGGCCUUCGGGUUGUAAACCACUUUUGUAGAGAACGAAAAGUCUAUUGCUAAUACCGAUAGAUGAUGACGUUACUCUAAGAAUAAGCACCGGCUAACUACGUGCCAGCAGCCGCGGUAAUACGUAGGGUGCGCGCGUUAAUCGGAAUUACUGGGCGUAAAGGGUGUGCAGGCGGUUUUGCAAGAUGGAUGUGAAAGCCCCGGGCUUAACCUGGGAAAGACAUACAUGACUGCAAGACUAGAGUGCGUCAGAGGGGGGUGGAAUUCCAAGUGUAGCAGUGAAAUGCGUAGAUAUUUGGAAGAACACCGAUGGCGAAGGCAGCCCCCUGGGACGCAACUGACGCUCAUACACGAAAGCGUGGGGAGCAAACAGGAUUAGAUACCCGAGUAGUC